RNAcentral lists this unclassified non-coding RNA (1107 nucleotides) under Zea mays. RNAcentral's name for it is "misc RNA Zm00001eb251260". The record is from RNAcentral. Lineage: Eukaryota; Viridiplantae; Streptophyta; Magnoliopsida; Poales; Poaceae.
CGUUCUGCCGCAUCCAGAGCAUCCAAACCGCAUCCAACGCCCCUGCCGCAUCCCGCGUCCCUCCCGCACUCGUCCCUGCCGCAGCCCCCGCGAUCCCCUUCCCACGCAUGGCGUUCCUGCCGCAGCCCCCGCGAUCCCCUUCCCACGCACGCAUGGCGUUCCUGCCGCAGCCCCCGCAACCCCCGCGAUCCCGCCUGCCAAGCAUGGCGUCGCCGCGGCCGUUGCCCCCGCGACCCCCUUCCUCAAUUCCGCGCGUCUAUGGCCGUCUCUCUCGCCCUCGCUCUCCUCUCUGCUGUCUGCACCCACGCGACAUGGAAGGAGAUCGUCUUCGCUGCGCCAAAUCGAGAAAUCCGCGUCCGCUAUGGAAGGGAUCGACAUCAGUAUCCGCGUCCGCAGCGCCAAAUUGAGGAACCCGCGCCCCAAAUCGAGAAAUCCGCCUCCGCUAUGGAAGGAGAUCGCCUCGGCUGCGCCUCGACUCUCGAUCGGCAUCAUCGCCCGCGUCCGCUGUGCCCCUACUUUAAUUCUGUCUCCUGUCCUCCUGCCGUGCCUGUUUCCUCACUUGUGCGCCACCAACCAGGAGGACGCUCGCCGUUGUCUCCGGCGCGGUGCUUGCCGGUGGAGCUCUGGCGUACGCCCGCUCAAGCCAGAGCCGCCAGCGGAGGAGGCGAGUCGCAGCGGCGGAGCCGGUGCAUUGGCCGCCAAUGGGGAUGGUUUCAGCCAGAACGGUGCCGGCGGUGGAUUGGCUGCAGCGGACCAGAGGGGAGCCCUCUACCUAUUUAUUUAUUGUAUAUCUAUAAAAAUGAAGAAAGUUACAUAUGUACAAAAUUAUAACAGAGGAAGAUACAAGAGUAGUGUCUCUCCAAAGGGUGAGGGGAUCUCUUCUACUCUGAUUCGCUUCGACGCACCAAGCUAAGCUCCUGUUUCGUCUUUUCCAAAUAUUGAAGUUACAGGUAGCAUUGUUAAAGAUAAUGCUAUUAAUUGAGAGUAGUCCAAAUAAUCAAACCACCUUUAAUAUUUAUUUCUCUUUAAAUUAAAUCACCGAAGUUUGUCCUGGCUUCAAUCAUCAUGUCUAGAGGUGGCAGACUCAGAUCACAUUGGAUGGGAAUU